Molecule: long non-coding RNA, 207 nt
Filed under: Lathyrus oleraceus (garden pea)
Lineage: Eukaryota; Viridiplantae; Streptophyta; Magnoliopsida; Fabales; Fabaceae
Description: Pisum sativum (pea) long non-coding RNA (PSAT_LNC013849)
Source: RNAcentral
UUAGUUUUUCUUUCAAAAUGAAAAACCCUUUAUUCUGAACUCGGGGCAGGGUAGUUUCAGUUAAUUCGGCUAUGCAUUCAAAGUUCAAAGAGAAUCAUUAUGAACACCUAAGAGGUGUAACCAUAUGGUUUUCUUCACACAUCCAUAAGUGUCGAAGUAGUCAUGUAGAUUCCAAACGUAUUAUGGUUGUUCCUCAAUAACUAAUGA